CUCAGAACGAACGCUGGCGGCGUGGAUUAGGUAUGCAAGUCGAACGGGAAACAGGCAGCUGAUCCUUCGGUGUGACGCAGCCUGUGAAACGUGGCGAACGGGUGAGUAACGAAUAGAUUACCUGCCCUUAAGUUCGGGAUAAUCCACCGAAAGGUGAAGUAAUACCGGAUGGUAUGCUGUUUCAUCUGAAACAGCAUUAAAGGAGGCUCUGCUUCCGCUUAAGGAGGGGUUUAUUUCCUAUUAGCUUGUUGGUGAGAUAACAGCUCACCAAUGCGAAGAUGGGUAGGGGGCCUUAGCGGGUUAUCCCCCACACUGGGACUGAGACACUGCCCAGGUUCCUACGGGAGGCUGCAAUCGAGAAUCCUCCGCAAUGGGCGAAAGCCUGACGGGGUGACGCCGCGUGACCGAUGAAGGCCUAUCAGGUCGUAAAGGUCUAACAGGGAGUAUGAAAUUUAUUAUACCUAAUACGUAUAAUAAUUGACAUCAAUCCCAGAUGAAGUCACGGCUAAAUUUGUGCCAGCAGCCGCGGUAAUACAAAUGUGGCAAGCGUUGUUCGGAAUCACUGGGCAUACAGGGCACGUAGGUGGUGCAGUAAGUUAAUUGUGAAAGCCCUCGGCUUAACCGAGGAAUUGCAGUUAAAACUGUUGCGCUAGAGUACAGAAGGGGAGAGUGGAAUUCUAGGUGUAGCGGUGGAAUGCGAAGAUAUCUAGGAGAAGGCCGGUGGCGAAAGCGACUCUCUAUUCUGUUACUGACACUGAGGUGCGAGAGCGUAGGUAGCGAACGGGAUUAGAUACCCCGGUAGUCUACGCUGUAAACGAUGGGCACUAGAUGGUGGAGGCGCCGAUAGCUUCCUCCGUCGAAGCAAAUGCGUUAAGUGCCCCGCCUGGGGACUAUGACCGCAAGGUUAAAACUCAAAGGAAUUGACGGGGGCCCACACAAGCGGUGGAGGAUGUGGCUUAAUUCGAGGACACGCGCAGAACCUUACCGAGGUUUGACAUGCAGGUGGUAGUGAUACGAAAGUUGAACGACCCGUUCAGGGAGCCUGCACAGGUGCUGCAUGGCUGUCGACAGUUCGUGUUGUGAAAUGUUAGGUUAAGUCCUGUAACGAGCGAAACCCUUGUGCCUAUUUGCCAGCGCGUCAUGGCGGGGACUAUAGGCAGACUGCCCCGGCUAACGGGGAGGAAGGCGGGGAUGACGUCAAGUCAGCAUGGCCCUUAUGCCUCGGGCCGCACACGUCCUACAAUGGGCUGUACAAUGAGGACCGAGACCGCAAGGUGGAGGAAAUCUUUUAAAACAGUUCUAAGUUCGGAUUGCAGGCUGCAACUCGCCUGCAUGAAGGUGGAAUCGCUAGUAAUCGCCGGUCAGCUAUACGGCGGUGAAUUUGUCCCUGGGCCUUGUGCACACCGCCCGUCAAGCCACCCGAGUUGGGUGCACCCGAAAUCCGAGGCCUAACCUGCUUGCAGGAGGGAUCGGCUGAAGGUGAGCCCGGCAAGGUGGACUAAGUC
This 1505-nucleotide ribosomal RNA is filed under the name uncultured organism. RNAcentral's name for it is "bacterial SSU rRNA". It matches the Rfam family "Bacterial small subunit ribosomal RNA". The record is from RNAcentral.